CCAUCUGGUGGGGGCACAUACUGUCUUUAGGAAAGCGACGUUGUAACGCGCCUUGAAGUGUAUUGUAUUUGAAGACACUGCCAUACCAACCAAAUAAUUUUUCCAACAGGAACUCCAGUGUAAUUAGUAACGGAGUGAGGGAAAUCCAAGUGAGUCGCAUAUCCGUGCAAUUACCAUCUUGAAAACUCAUGCUAAAAGUCUCAUAUUUGUAACCCAAGUGCCCUUUGCUUUUGGGUAGUUAAGUGUUGAUUAUACUGACAAACUUGUGGUUGGCUUCAGAUGCAAAAUUAUUUGAGGAAGAAGGAACAAAAAGAACAAAUAGAAAAGGACCUCCGUGAAGGGCUGAAGCUUUACAAGUAAACCUUUAUCUGUCAAUUAGAACUUCUUUUGGUGUUUCUUUUGUCUUCUUGCUAUUCUUUGGUUCAGCAUCUCAUCCCCGAGACUCUUGUUUCCAAUUUAUUGGAUCUGCACUAUUUAAUGUACAAGAAAAAAAGGAGUUAGCCCUAAUCAUUCAAGGAGAAUAGCUUCAAUUUCAGUUUGGUAGUUUAGAUAUGGAUUUCAAUAUUGAAUUUGAGAACUGUCAUGAUGGAUUUAAAACAACAAUGUAUGAGAAGAAUAACUUGAAAUCUUCAAUACCAAGGAUUCUAGUUGUACAAAACAAAUCAAGUACAUUUUUCUUAUCUCACGCAUUUGCUCACAUCAUUUGAUGCCUUCCAUCGUUGUUAUUGGUUUAUUUAGGACGCAUUAGGUCUUCAUCUUUUUUGUUUAUAACCAAAUAAAGAAACUGUCACCUAUAUUGUUCUCAGAUGACUUUGAAAAUCAUUUGUUACCUUCCAAACACCUUCCAUGUCAUAUUUUCCCAAUAUUCAUGCAUUCUGAGAUAAUAUUAUGUGGCUGAAAGUCUUUUUCUCUUUCUGGAAAACGAUGGAGGACUUCAAAUACAAGGAAGCACUGGAGAAAUUUGAGUCAGUGUUGGGGUCAAAACCGGAUCCAACUGAAGCUUCGGUGGCUAGCUACAAUGCCGUGUGUUGCUAUUCUAAACUUAAUCAGGUGGUACUCAGACUUCCAAAGCAAUGGUAUAAUAUCAUUAUAUUCUUGUGUUAAUAGUUUUUAAUUCUAAUUUCCUUUUAUUUUGUGAUUUCAGAUACAAGCUGGACUUUCAGGAUUCGAAGAUUUCAAGGUAACGAAUAGAACAAAUUUAACGUACUUUAUGCUAAAUUCUAAUUCUGCAACUGUUGCUACGUUUACAGCGAAUCAGGACAGACCCUGAUCUAGCCAACAUCAGAACAUCAGAAGAAUUUGAGCCUCUUAUGAAAAGGUUUGAUGAAUCGUUUAUCAACAAGAACGCCACCCAUGCCAUCAAGUCUAUCUUUGGAUUUAUUCUGUGUGGAGCAAAUUUCAUAAUAGUGCCCAGAAGAACUUCAAAGGCACGUCAAGAAUGUCGUUUUCCUUAAAGCGUUAUUCGCCCACACCAAUCUGUAAGACUGAGUAUGCCCACUGGGUUCACAGCGGGAACGCCUUUAGGAUACAAUGAAGCCUCAGAAGUUAAUCUGAUGUCUGACUGCGUUCUGCACAAACGAAAUCAGACCAAAAUUACUUUCAGAUUUUUCUGGUAGCCAAGAAUCUGAAAAUUCUGUUUCUGCAGAAAACAGAAUUCAAGAACAAGUUGGAAAAAUGUAAUUUAACAAGGAAAAAGAGAAGUUCGAAAACAAGUGAUUUAAUUGCUGAAAAAUUGUCAAUUAUAGCUGAAUAGUGUUUUUAAUGAAGAGGUGUAUUGAAGAAAGAUGAUGGUUAAUUCAAAAUCUAACAGUCAUUUUUAACAGUAAUUAGAUUUAUUAAACAAGUCCAUCGAUCACACCUUUUAGUAUUCAAAGGUUUGGAGAUCGCACCUCUUCAAUAUCCAAUCAAGCCGUUAUCACAUCUUAUAAUAGAUGUGUUUUUCACCAUAGAUCUUGUAAUCUUAAUAUAACCCCGAUCGUUGUGACAUCAUGAAUAAAAAAAUCAAUGGUCUUGAUCACAAGACACAAGUGCCAAAAGUGCGCCACCGCAUGCGGAAAGUUGCACCGUCCUACAUGGCACAUCACUUAUACCCAAGUAUAGUGCCUAGCCACAAUAAGACAAAAAACAAGAGUCAUAAUGGACUAUCACAUUAAAAAACUUUUUACUUCCCCCCCCAUCUCUUUUUUCAAUGUGGGACUCCAAAAACUUCAAACAAUUCAUAUAUACAUUAUAUUUGUGAAAAAUAUUUUUUUAACUAUUCAAACAAGAACUAGAGAUUGAGAAGACCUGAGCUUGUCAUUGUAUUUGAGAUUUUACAACUGAACUGGUGCAAGUAUUGGCCUGACCAUCUCGAGUUUCCAUACAGAUGGCUUUCCCAUUUGUUUGUUGUUUUUUACACAUGAUCAAUUUUGGAAGUUGAAAUGAUUUUUGAUUGUUUUAUCUAAUUGUAUCUCUAGUUAAAUUCUGUCUCCUGUAAUUAUCUGGACAAAAGGAUUGAAGGAAUAAAUAAAAGAUUUCCUUUCCAUCAUCUUGGUGUUACAAUAACUUUCAGUUAAAAUGGUGAUGCAAGAUCAUGCUGCACAAGUGAAAGAAAGGGGAUAGAAUUUUAUGCAGAAAAGCAGUGGCAGUAGUGUUUUCUAAAUUUUGAGCCAACGAGGUUUUGGUUUGAAUGAAAAAUACAAGGCCACACCAUUCUUUGCAAGAAUUCUAUAAAAGAAAUUCUAUUUGUGUAUCAUUUCCUGCGUAUUCAAGAUACUGUUUCAAUAGCACGUAUAAGAGAAAAUGAAAUUUCUGUUUCGUAUCAAAGUCAUUCAACUGAACUUGUCAAUUGCUGUAUGAUACAUUAAUCUACUCGAAAUAAAGUCUUCCAAGACAAUUCUAAACCAUUCCAUGAGCCUUUCAAGGACUUAAAACUGACCUGGAGGAUAGUGACUUAGGCAUGAUGUGUGACUUUAGAGUAAUUGCUCAUGACUCCUUCCACCGAACCAAAAGAAUCCUUAGAAUGGGGAUCCCAACUUGGCACCCUUGAGUGAGGGUGAGAUUUUGAGAAGAGUUUCUCUUUCAAUUUUGUAAAAUUUCCAUUGUAUAAUGAAUUAAAGCAAGUUUAUCUUUAUAAGAACAUUAUCUUGGGAUGGGUGGACCAGAC
RNAcentral lists this long non-coding RNA (3145 nucleotides) under Actinidia chinensis (golden kiwifruit). Its description in RNAcentral is "long non-coding RNA (ACHI_LNC003035)". Lineage: Eukaryota; Viridiplantae; Streptophyta; Magnoliopsida; Ericales; Actinidiaceae. The record is from RNAcentral.